AUGUAAUUCAAAUACCUCUCAGGGCUUUGAAUAAGACCCAAUGAACAAUUUUUUGAGACCCUAUUCUCAGUAAUAGGGUG
This 80-nucleotide small nuclear RNA is filed under the name Caenorhabditis brenneri. RNAcentral's name for it is "sRNA CBN33942". It matches the Rfam family "SmY spliceosomal RNA". Lineage: Eukaryota; Metazoa; Nematoda; Chromadorea; Rhabditida; Rhabditidae. The record is from Rfam by way of RNAcentral.